This 202-nucleotide unclassified non-coding RNA is filed under the name Hevea brasiliensis (rubber tree). Lineage: Eukaryota; Viridiplantae; Streptophyta; Magnoliopsida; Malpighiales; Euphorbiaceae. The record is from RNAcentral.
UAGAAACACAUGCAACAUGCCAAGUCCUCAACUUAAUCCUCAAAUGAGUAAAUUGGAUAUGUUAUGAGCUUUGUUGUAUAUUAAGCUUUUCUUAUCUCAUUAGAUUGUGCUACUACAUAAUGGGAAGAAAAUAAGUUUUCAGCAAACUUUAGUCAUUCAAGUGAAUGUUUGAAUAACCAAUAAAUGCUGUGUGUGGUCCAAG